RNAcentral lists this ribosomal RNA (536 nucleotides) under Strongyloides stercoralis. RNAcentral's name for it is "SSU rRNA". It matches the Rfam family "Eukaryotic small subunit ribosomal RNA", at positions 963 to 1513 of the family's 1831-position model. Lineage: Eukaryota; Metazoa; Nematoda; Chromadorea; Rhabditida; Strongyloididae. The record is from RNAcentral.
AAUGUUUUCAUUAAUCAAGAACGAAAGUUAGAGGUUGAAGGCGAUCAGAUACCGCCCUAGUUCUAACCGUAAACUAUGCCUACUAGAUGUAUGAAUUAUUAGUUAUAAUAAUUUAUGCAUCUUCUCGGAAACGAAAGUCUUUCGGUUCCGGGGGAAGUAUGGUUGCAAAGCUGAAACUUAAAGGAAUUGACGGAAGGGCACCACCAGGAGUGGAGCCUGCGGCUUAAUUUGACUCAACACGGGAAAACUCACCCGGGCCGGACACUAUAAGGAUUGACAGAUUGAUAGCUCUUUCAUGAUUUAGUGGUUGGUGGUGCAUGGCCGUUCUUAGUUCGUGGAUAUGAUUUGUCUGGUUGAUUCCGAUAACGAGCGAGACUUUUAUGUUAUAUUAAAUAUUAUUAUUUUGUUUAUUUUAAUAUAAAUAAUUAAUAUUUUAAUAACAGAUUAAUAGUGUUUAACUAUUUGAGAGAGAGCGAUAACAGGUCUGUGAUGCCCUUAGAUGUCCGGGGCUGCACGCGCGCUACAAUGUAGUGAUC